GAUGAACGCUGACAGAAUGCUUAACACAUGCAAGUCAACUUGAACUUCGGUUUGGGUGGCGGACGGGUGAGUAACGCGUAAAGAACUUGCCUCACAGAUAGGGACAACAUUUGGAAACGAAUGCUAAUACCUGAUAUUAUGAUUAUAUGGCAUUGUAUAAUUAUGAAAGCUAUAUGCGCUGUGAGAGAGCUUUGCGUCCCAUUAGCUAGUUGGAGAGGUAACGGCUCACCAAGGCGAUGAUGGGUAGCCGGCCUGAGAGGGUGAUCGGCCACAAGGGGACUGAGACACGGCCCUUACUCCUACGGGAGGCAGCAGUGGGGAAUAUUGGACAAUGGACCAAGAGUCUGAUCCAGCAAUUCUGUGUGCACGAUGAAGUUUUUCGGAAUGUAAAGUGCUUUCAGUUGGGAAGAAAAAAAUGACGGUACCAACAGAAGAAGUGACGGCUAAAUACGUG
Molecule: ribosomal RNA, 454 nt
Filed under: uncultured bacterium
Lineage: Bacteria
Description: partial 16S ribosomal RNA
Rfam family: Bacterial small subunit ribosomal RNA
Source: RNAcentral